Molecule: unclassified non-coding RNA, 811 nt
Filed under: Hevea brasiliensis (rubber tree)
Lineage: Eukaryota; Viridiplantae; Streptophyta; Magnoliopsida; Malpighiales; Euphorbiaceae
Source: RNAcentral
UUUUUUUUUUUUUUUUUUUUUUUGACCCACAAAUCGCUAUGCUUUCAUUUAAUCCUCAAAACGGUCAGAGUACAAUGUAAAACAAAACAAAUCAAAAUAACAAGAAAUGGAAGCAUUCAGCUGCCCUUGUAGCAAGCAUCAUCCAUUAAUAUAAUACUAACAUCUAAAACCGGAAAUAUGAGAACUCCCUUUGCUUCUCUCUUAUUAUUUAAGAAGGGAUCUUGUUAGAUGUUCACGGGCAGUGGCCAGUGCUUGAGUUAAUGUCUGCUCGGAUAAUGGAGCUCCAGCAUCCAUGCUAUUACUUGCUACCUUCCCCGCUAUGAGAUUUGCAUCAGUUUCCAGAAUUAUUCCGCCAUCAACAAUUUCAUCAAGGCAUAACAGAAUGAGAUCUAGAUUCUCAAGUGCCUCUUUCUUGUCCACGUUGCCUCUUAGGAGAAGACCAACAGCAUCAAAAAAUCCCUGAAGAACUGUGGCUAAGAUGAGCUCAUUUUCAUCUUCACCUCCAGUAACAAAAAAGUGAAGAUCUUGAACAAACUUGUAAACAAUAAUGUUAUUCUCAAGCAUUGUUAUCUCCGCCUCAGUGCGGGCAUUAGUCCUCUGAGUUUUGGCAAAUACAACUUUCUCAUAAGCUUCCUUGGCAUUGUUUGUUGGCCAAUCAUCUGAAUAGUACUUAACAGCUACACGUUUUCCUUCAGAAUCCAAAAGAAGGAUAUUUUUUAUGGAAGGGCACGACUCCAUGUUGUUUGGCGAAUUUUGACGGAAAAUCGUCUGCGGAAUUUCUGAGAAAUUCUGUCAGAUCAACCAGAUCCAG